GAAACCAAGAAACAGAGAGGAUAAGUAAUUUGCCUAAGAACACACGGCUCGAAAUGGUAACAUUUGGAUUUGCACCCAGGGAGUCUAGCUCAAGAGUCCUUGCUGUUAACAUCUAUCCUACCACGCCACAUUGCAACCCACGUGUGGGACCCCGGAGCCCGGCCUGCCUAGGUCUGGGGGCGCAUGUUCCUGCGGCCUUCAUCUCCUGGCUUCAGUGAUGGCUCUGGCCCCCAGACUCCCCACCUUCUAGGUCCAAGGAGGCUGUAGUUGCGGGAUCUCUGGGCCUCUGUCACUGCAAGGCCUCUGCUUACCCUGUGAUUUCUUUUUCUUUCUUUUCUUCUCUCUCUUUUUGAAGCUCUCUAGUUCAGCACAGCACAGUGCUGCCCUUCUUUGUCAGUUUAAUUGCAUUUUCCAACAAGAUACACUGAAGUCCUGACCCCAGGUCCCCAGAGUGUGCCUUUAUGUGGAAAUGGGGUGGGGGCGGUGCUACAGAUGCAAUUAGGUAAGAUGAGGUCAUAGGGGAGAAGGGAGGGCCCUUAAUCCAAGAUCACUGGUGUCUUUAUCAGAAGAGGGAAGUUUGGACGCAGAUGCGUGGAGAGAACACCAUGUGAAGACAGAGGCAGUCACUGGACGGAUGCGUCUACAAGCCAGGGAGUGCCAAGGAUUAGCCACAGCCACCGGAGGCUGGGCGACAAGCAUGGGAUGGGUUCUCUCUCAAAGCCUCCAGAAAGAACCAACCAACCCUGCUGAUGCUUUGAUUUUGGAUGUCUCACCUCCAGAACCACAGACAACAAGCUGGUUGCUCGAAGCCACCCAGUUUGCGGUGCUCUGCUACGGCAGCCCGAGUGAAGGAACACCCUCCUUUGCCGUGGCUGCUCCCUCUGUCCCCAUCCCCACCACUGCCCUCUCUCACAGUGCCGCUCCGGCCCCUCUGGCUUCCUCGCCCCUCCAGUCGGGACUCCAGGGCCUCAGGACCUUUGCACUUGCUGGGCCCUCUUGCUGAAGAUAUGAUUUCCCUCAGAUGUUCACAUGGUGCCUUCCUUCAUCAUACAUUCCUGGGCAGGCUGGAGAGGCUUAAGGACCACUACUCAUACUUCAGGUCCUCUGGUCCUCAGGCAGACUACUAAAAUCUGCCCGCAACUGUAAACAACACCAAAGAUCUCAACAAAUAUUCACCAGAAGAAGCAAACCUCCUGCAAGGAGCUUGCUGAGGAACGGACAUUCUAGAGCUAGCUUGAGUUGGCUUGCCCACCCGGGAUCUUCUGGCUCUUCUCUUCCACUGCGUCGUGUCGGAGAUCAGCUGUCUGAAGUAGAAACAACAACGUGUCGGUCCGCAAGGUCUUUGGCCUCCAAAAGUCACAGAGAAGCCAAUAAUGAAUGUCUUGGGACAUUCAGCAAACUGGAAGCCCUGACAAAACUGAUAGAUUUGGUGACGGCUGUGACAAGAGAGCAUGACUGAAGAGGAGGAAUCAGGUCAAGGAGCAACCGACACCAGGCAAACAGAAACCACCUCACACCCCUGAGGGUCAAAAAAGAACAAAACAGAAACAAAAACAACAACAAAACAAAAGGACCACAAGGAAACCCCAGCAAAUAAGAGUCGGGUAUUUGGUGAGAAAACAGCAACAACAACAACAACCAACCAAGAGUGACCCUUUUGGGACUCUCCAUCCUCUGCCUGACUUCUCCCCCAGAGCCACAGACCAACGUGCAAAAGGCAGGGGCCCGCAGAAGCCAAGUCCUGCUCUCUGGGUUACAAACACCAAAUGACGGUUGUGUGCUCGGGUAUUUUAUCUCUGUAAUGUGAGCCCACGUCAAGUGGGAGCACAAAUAAAAAUU
Long non-coding RNA from Canis lupus familiaris (dog), 1839 nucleotides. RefSeq lists it as uncharacterized. The record is from RefSeq and is a predicted model, not a curated record. The transcript is spliced from 2 exons. NCBI's taxonomy places the organism in Eukaryota, Metazoa, Chordata, Mammalia, Carnivora, Canidae.